RNAcentral lists this ribosomal RNA (497 nucleotides) under uncultured bacterium. RNAcentral's name for it is "partial 16S ribosomal RNA". It matches the Rfam family "Bacterial small subunit ribosomal RNA", at positions 28 to 507 of the family's 1533-position model. The record is from RNAcentral.
GAUGAACGCUGGCGGCGUGCCUAAUACAUGCAAGUCGAGCGAACAGACGAGGAGCUUGCUCCCCUGACGUUAGCGGCGGACGGGUGAGUAACACGUGGAUAACCUACCUAUAAUACUGGGAUAACUUCGGGAAACCGGAGCUAAUACCGUAUAAUAUAUUGAACCGCAUGGUGCAAUAGUGAGAGACGGUGUUUCUGUCACUUAUAGAUGGUUCCGCGCCGCAUUAGCUAGUUGGGAAGGUAACGGCUUAGCAAGGCAACGAUGCGUAACCGAACUGAGAGGGUGGUCGGCCACACUGGAACUGAGACAAGGACCAGGCUCCUACGGGAGGCAGCAGUAGGGAAUCUUCCGCAACGGGCGAAAGCUUGACGGAGCAACGCCGCGUGAGUGAUGAAGGUCUUCGGAUCGUAAAACUCUGUUAUUAGGGAAGAACAAAUGUGUAAGUAACUAUGCACGUAUUGACGGUACCUAAUAAGAAAGCCACGGCUAACUACGUG